RNAcentral lists this transfer RNA (68 nucleotides) under Fasciola gigantica. RNAcentral describes it as "tRNA-Gln". It matches the Rfam family "tRNA". From Rfam's summary of the family: Transfer RNA (tRNA) molecules are approximately 80 nucleotides in length. The record is from RNAcentral. Lineage: Eukaryota; Metazoa; Platyhelminthes; Trematoda; Plagiorchiida; Fasciolidae.
GGCGAUGGUCAAAUGGUCAUCAUGGUGGACUUUGAACCCUUCUGUCCCAGGUUCGAGUCCUGGUGCCA